Molecule: non-coding RNA, 871 nt
Organism: Drosophila suzukii
Lineage: Eukaryota; Metazoa; Arthropoda; Insecta; Diptera; Drosophilidae
Source: RefSeq, a predicted model, not a curated record
CAUUUCGAUAUUAAAUCUCUCUGUCAAACCUUCAAAACCCAUUUUAAUCUUCAAUAAAACCUAAUUUAACACUAUUAAGCCUGCCUGCAGUAAUAUCCCCAGGCCUAAUGGUAUUUUCUGUGGCUUUCAUUGGGCUUAUUAAUAGAGAAGUCAUACGCCCAGUGUUAAGCCACCAUUGCCGUAUCAAUUUACCGCACUCGGAAAACACGAAAAACAGAACACCCAGAACCCCAGAAGUUGUAACUCUCACAAUACCAAAAAAAAAAAAAGAAAAGAAAAGAGAGCGGGAAAUGGGAAAAACAUUUUCAUUCAUUCCGAAUGCGAGAACAGGAAUCGAGAGAGCUAAAUAGAAAUUCCGAUGGUGGAAACCAUCAUCAUCAUCAUCGUCGUCAUGUAGCUCAUCCUCAUCCACUUCUUGGAUGUCUUGAGGCUUCUUUUUCGGGCUCUUUUCUCUCGGCGGCGUUGUGAUAUUUAUGUUUUCAUCAAAAGAGCAGGCGAACAAUCAAAAUGCGCUGCACUCGACUCCAGACCAGAGACCCAACGAAAAACACACCGAUGCAGAUGCAGAUACGGAUACGGGUGCGGGUUUGGGUUCGCGCUUGAGUUCGGAUGCGGAUACAGGGACAGAUACAGAUACAGAUGCAAGUGAACUGAACUGAAGUGAAGUGAAGAAACUACAGGCCGACAGACGGCAGCAGGCAGCAGGCAGCGCUUUAACCUCAUAUUUAUCCAACAGAUACUUAUAGCGGAGCGCAAAAAAGCAAGCAGCGACAAAAGAAAUGAAGCCCCCUCAGUCCCCACAGUCCCCAUCACUGAACACAAUGCCUACUUAUUUCUUUUGAAUUAAUUUGUCAUUAAACCAUAUUAAUUA